GGGAAGUGAAACAUCUCAGUACCCGCAGGAAGAGAAAAUAAAUAAUGAUUCCGCUAGUAGUGGCGAACGAACGUGGAUCAGGCUAAACCGUGUGUGUGUGAUACCUGACAGGGGUUGCAUGUGCGGUGUUGUGGGUUGCGAUGUGGCAGGGCUGUUGACUUGCCGCGUGUGGUGUGUGUUGAGCGGAAGUGGUUUGGGAUGGCCUACCGGAGUGGGUGAGAGUCCCGUACGUUAAAAGCACAUGUCAUGCGUUGUUGUAUACCCGAGUAGCAGCGGGCUCGUGAAAUCUGCUGUGAAUCUGCCGGGACCACCCGGUAAGCCUAAAUACUCAGUGUGACCGAUAGCGGAUAGUACCGUGAGGGAAUGGUGAAAAGUACCCCGGGAGGGGA
RNAcentral lists this ribosomal RNA (389 nucleotides) under Schizochytrium aggregatum. RNAcentral describes it as "partial Bacterial large subunit ribosomal RNA". It matches the Rfam family "Bacterial large subunit ribosomal RNA", at positions 188 to 537 of the family's 2925-position model. The record is from RNAcentral. Lineage: Eukaryota; Bigyra; Thraustochytrida; Thraustochytriidae.